This 428-nucleotide ribosomal RNA is filed under the name uncultured bacterium. Its description in RNAcentral is "bacterial SSU rRNA". It matches the Rfam family "Bacterial small subunit ribosomal RNA", at positions 28 to 501 of the family's 1533-position model. The record is from RNAcentral.
GACGAACGCUGGCGGCAGGCUUAACACAUGCAAGUCGAGCGAAGACUUCGGUCUUAGCGGCAGACGGGUGAGUAACGCGUGGGAAUCUACCCAUCCCUACGGAAUAGCUCCGGGAAACUGGAAUUAAUACCGUAUACGCCCUUCGGGGGAAAGAUUUAUCGGGGAUGGAUGAGCCCGCGUUUGAUUAGGUAGUUGGUGGGGUAAUGGCCUACCAAGCCGACGAUCAAUAGCUGGUCUGAGAGGAUGAUCAGCCACACUGGGACUGAGACACGGCCCAGACUCCUACGGGAGGCAGCAGUGGGGAAUAUUGGACAAUGGGCGAAAGCCUGAUCCAGCCAUGCCGCGUGAGUGAUGAAGGCCCUAGGGUUGUAAAGCUCUUUCAACGGUGAAGAUAAUGACGGUAGCCGUAGAAGAAGCCCCCGGCUAAC